Molecule: ribosomal RNA, 1343 nt
Filed under: uncultured bacterium
Lineage: Bacteria
Description: 16S ribosomal RNA
Rfam family: Bacterial small subunit ribosomal RNA
Source: RNAcentral
GACGAACGCUGGCGGCGUGCUUAACACAUGCAAGUCGAACGGAAAGGCCCUGCUUUUGUGGGGUGCUCGAGUGGCGAACGGGUGAGUAACACGUGAGUAACCUGCCCUUGACUUUGGGAUAACUUCAGGAAACUGGGGCUAAUACCGGAUAGGAGCUCCUGCUGCAUGGUGGGGGUUGGAAAGUUUCGGCGGUUGGGGAUGGACUCGCGGCUUAUCAGCUUGUUGGUGGGGUAGUGGCUUACCAAGGCUUUGACGGGUAGCCGGCCUGAGAGGGUGACCGGCCACAUUGGGACUGAGAUACGGCCCAGACUCCUACGGGAGGCAGCAGUGGGGAAUAUUGCACAAUGGGCGGAAGCCUGAUGCAGCAACGCCGCGUGCGGGAUGACGGCCUUCGGGUUGUAAACCGCUUUCGCCUGUGACGAAGCGUGAGUGACGGUAAUGGGUAAAGAAGCACCGGCUAACUACGUGCCAGCAGCCGCGGCGAUACGUAGGGUGCGAGCGUUGUCCGGAUUUAUUGGGCGUAAAGGGCUCGUAGGUGGUUGAUCGCGUCGGAAGUGUAAUCUUGGGGCUUAACCCUGAGCGUGCUUUCGAUACGGGUUGACUUGAGGAAGGUAGGGGAGAAUGGAAUUCCUGGUGGAGCGGUGGAAUGCGCGGAUAUCAGGAGGAACACCAGUGGCGAAGGCGGUUCUCUGGGCCCUUCCUGACGCUGAGGAGCGAAAGCGUGGGGAGCGAACAGGCUUAGAUACCCUGGUAGUCCACGCUGUAAACGGUGGGUACUAGGUGUGGGGUCCAUUCCACGGGUUCCGUGCCGUAGCUAACGCUUUAAGUACCCCGCCUGGGGAGUACGGCCGCAAGGCUAAAACUCAAAGGAAUUGACGGGGCCCCGCACAAGCGGCGGAGCAUGCGGAUUAAUUCGAUGCAACGCGUAGAACCUUACCUGGGUUUGACAUGGAUCGGGAGUGCUCAGAGAUGGGUGUGCCUCUUUUGGGGUCGGUUCACAGGUGGUGCAUGCCUGUCGUCAGCUCGUGUCGUGAGAUGUUGGGUUAAGUCCCGCAACGAGCGCAACCCUUGUUCACUGUUGCCAGCACGUUAUGGUGGGGACUCAGUGGAGACCGCCGGGGUCAACUCGGAGGAAGGUGGGGAUGACGUCAAGUCAUCAUGCCCCUUAUGUCCAGGGCUUCACGCAUGCUACAAUGGCUGGUACAGAGAGUGGCGAGCCUGUGAGGGUGAGCGAAUCUCGGAAAGCCGGUCUCAGUUCGGAUUGGGGUCUGCAACUCGACCUCAUGAAGUCGGAGUCGCUAGUAAUCGCAGAUCAGCAACGCUGCGGUGAAAACGUUCCCGGG